RNAcentral lists this non-coding RNA (45 nucleotides) under Caenorhabditis japonica. RNAcentral's name for it is "sRNA CJA49000". It matches the Rfam family "Histone 3' UTR stem-loop". From Rfam's summary of the family: The mRNAs of metazoan histone genes lack a poly-A tail. 3' end processing occurs at a site between a highly conserved stem-loop (modelled by this family) and a purine rich region around 20 nts downstream (the histone downstream element, or HDE). The record is from RNAcentral. Lineage: Eukaryota; Metazoa; Nematoda; Chromadorea; Rhabditida; Rhabditidae.
CCAACGGCCCUCUUUAGGGCCACAAAUAUUGAAAAAUUCAUAAAU